GCAUGAGCAAGACAGAAAGAAGAAGAGCCGUCAUCUUCUUCUUCCUCCCCUUUAACGUACGUCAUCUUCCUUCGUCAUCCUCUCAAAGUAAUCAAGGAGUUGAUUAAAAAAGAGAAAUUCAGUCAUCAAAGGUGAUCUCUGCAAGGGAGCUAGCACCUCGGUGAGAUCUUGGAGCGAUCUGUACCUUGUGUGGAUACCUAUU
Molecule: long non-coding RNA, 202 nt
Filed under: Phoenix dactylifera (date palm)
Lineage: Eukaryota; Viridiplantae; Streptophyta; Magnoliopsida; Arecales; Arecaceae
Description: long non-coding RNA (PDAC_LNC008701)
Source: RNAcentral